UCUGGGCUCUUAAGGGAGCCGUGUAAUUAGAUUACACUCACCUGGAUAAUCCCUUUUUGCAUCAACUGUGUCAUAUAACAUAAUGUAGUCACAGGAAUGAUAUCCCAUUCACAGGUUCAGGGGGAUAAAGGGUAUGGAAUCUCUUGUGGGAGCAGGUAGGGCAUUUUGAGAAUCCUGCCUACCACAUUCUGGUUCUGCUGCUGGGAGUCAAGAGAGCAUUUAAGAACAAGUGAUCAGAUGAGAAUGACUCUCCUGGGGAUAUGUUUUCCCAGGCUUCGUUGGCAUUAAUUGCUAAGUAGGUUUAGGUAACAUUUGCAGUGGGUCUUAUGGUCCUUAACGUGUACAAUUUACCCUCAUGCCAUGGUUCUCACAGUGUGGGCGCAGGACCAGCCUCAUCAGCAUCAUCUGGGACCUUGUCAGAAAUGCAAAUUUGGGGUCGCGUCCCAAACCUACUCAAUUAGACGCUCUGGGUUUGUGGUCCUGAGAUGUGUGUCGUAACAGGUGAUUCUGAUGCUACUCAAUUGAGAACUAUUUUUCUAAAGAGCAGAAAUAGUUAAGGCCUGGAAGAGGGUCAGGAUGUGCCUCUGUGAGGAAGCGUGUCAGGAACUCUCCCGGUGGGAUGCGGAUGCUGGCCUGGUCCUCUUCAGCCCCAGGAAGAGGAGUUAGAGCUUGCCGAUAUGUGCGCUAUUCGAGAUGGAGAAACCAAGGCUCAGAAGCAUGAAUUCUUUGGCUCUGAGGUUUCACGGCCAUCAGGGGCAGAAACCAGUUUUAACAAGAGAGGUUGAUCAUCGCUGGUCCAACUCAUACCUUCUCCUCCUGGAAGCUACCCCACGCUACACGAAGACAAUAGCCCUGCUGGCCACCAGAAGACCUAGCCCUCCUCCUCUUGAGGUGGGCAUCUGAUGCAAGGGCAACCUUUCCACAGAUAGGGGGAAGGCUGGCCAACCAUCCUGGUUUGUGUUGGACUGGGGGGUUCCCAGAAGGCAGGACUUUCAGUGCUAAUUCCAGAAAAGUCCUGAGCCAACUAGGACAAGUUGUUCACUCAGGCAGGAAGGGACUUGUGACCUGUGAGCUCGGGUUCCAAACCACAGAAUAGGCAAUCAGGUUCUCAGAAACUGGGAAACUAAAAGACUGGGCCUGUCACCUGAAAUAGAAGGGCCAUGAUAUAGAAAAAGAGCAAGGAGAAUUGAAGAGCUGCCGUGUUGAUCACAUGGAAACAAAACUUACGAGCAGAAACUCUGAGCCAGUAGAGGACACUGACCGUAUUUUAGGAAAACUGACUUUCAGUAGCUUCUUCCUUAAAAACCACCGUGGCCAAUUGCAGAUCCUUGCGGAGACUCUUUCCAGAUGCUUCUGUUUGCUGCUGCUGCUUCUGCUUUCAUUGCCAAGGAAAGGGCUACAGCAGACUCUUCCGUAUUAAAGCAAGUUCCCUCCAAAUCAUGCUGCUUAUCUUCCGAAUUGAAACGAAAUGAGCAAAAUCCAGCACCCUUAGAAAUUUCAAGUUGGGAAACCCCAGAGUGACUCUUCCUGACUCCCACCUCACAUUUUUGGAGCUCAGGAAGCUCUUCAUCAGCCAAAGCUGAGGUAGCAGACUGUUUUUCCCAAAGAGAGCCGUGACAACAUUUCCCAUCUCUCAUCCUCUUCUUACAUUAUUUGACACCCUGUGGCUUAUUUGACACCCUGUGGCUACUGUGAAUGUUGGCUGCUGAUGGCUCACAGCUGAUCCCAGUCCAGAGACUUGCCCUUGGCCCAUGGGAGCCUUCUCUCCCAGAGGAAUAUGCCGACCCCCAAGGGAACACCCAGCCCAAGCCAAGGUGACACAGGGGUACAAAAGGCCAGCCUCACUGCGUCACAGAGGACCAAUCCAGUGGCAUGAUUCUUGCUUCACUACUUGGUGGGAUCAGGCUGUCUCUCGUCUCCAGCUGAGGCCACAUCCUUGCUGAGCGUCCCCCCCCACCUUGUACCCCUUUUUUCUUUCCUCGCUCCUUUCCCCGUGUAAGUACUUCCUUAACUAAGAAUCCCCCACUCAAGGGUAUUUCUGGAGAUGCCAACCCAGGACACGCUUCCGGGGAAAGUAACAAUUGUGCACUUUCGACUGAAAUCUAUGUGUGAUUUUUUUGUGAUUGGC
Molecule: long non-coding RNA, 2128 nt
Organism: Herpailurus yagouaroundi (jaguarundi)
Lineage: Eukaryota; Metazoa; Chordata; Mammalia; Carnivora; Felidae
Exons: 5
Source: RefSeq, a predicted model, not a curated record